UUUGUGAUGACUUCUUCAAUCACAUACACACACACACACACACACACCUCCCUCAGCCCUACACAAAUCCCAUGAGCCUCUCUGACUGACGGUGUCGGCUGACAAGGUGCCAGCUCAGGCUUGGACCGGAUCGAGUGCGCUUCUGGCCCGGGUUGGGGCUUGUUGUGUUUCAUAGUUGGCUACUCUCUAGGCACACCGCCGAAAGGGAAUUCCUCAGUCGGCCCUAUAAAGUGAAGCCCUGCUGACAAGCACAAGGAAGGGACAGGGAGUGUUCUCAGCCCCACGUCCACAUUUGUCCCGGUUUUCCCCACCCCAAUGACCACUCCAGACCCCGGCUCCAGCUCCAGACGUUUGUGGUUUCCUUAGGCGUCCAUAUGUGAAUGCUCUCUGUCUGGUCCAGCCACAGCCAAGGCAGAGAAGGUCAUCUAGCAGCAGACACAGACACCUUAUGGCCAAGACCAGCUCAAUCCAGCCUCUACUCUAUCUGUCCCUGUCCCCGUUAGCGUUAGCAUCCUGUGCGUUUCUCAAUGGCCCUUCAUGCAUCCGCCCCACCGUCAAAGCUAGUCAGGCUAAUGUGGCUAGCAGACCUGUCCCCACUUAGUAACAACCCACAUAGGCUCCGACUGAAAGGCAUCUGGAGCGGCUCUGUCCUAGACCAGGGCCAGGUGGGGUCAAGAAUCCACUGCUACCUAAGAUUGCGAGGAAUACUAGACAGAGGUGGUAUGGGUACCUGAUCUGAUCAGCUGUUACUACAGUCUCAAUCCCAGACCCUUACAUCAACUGUGCUGGUACAGUGGACACACACACACACACACACACACACAUAUCCCCAAGGGCGAGUUUUAGCAGUUUUGUUAUUGAUUUUGAGAGGUGGUGGGAAAUACAGUGGUACCUUUGUCCUCCGUACCUCCUCCCUCAAACACUCACACAAACACACCCUCACACACCCUCACACACACACACACACACACACUCAUAUCUGUACCCCUGUUACCUUAGUCUUGCCCCAUUUGGUCCUUCCAGAUGGUUCCCAUUUCAAUCUGUGUGUUUUGAAAGGUGUGUGUCUCUGUGGUGUGUGUGUGUGAUAUACCCCCAUUUGAUUUUGAUUUUGAUUUCCUCCUCUGCAAGUGCACUUUUUUGAUUGUUUAUAUACUGUACCUAUAGAAUUGUACAAUUUUUUAGUAAUUUAAAUAUAUGCCGACAUACAGGAAGAGAGUCUAUAGAAGUAAUCAUUCCUUACUAAAGAGCAACUGAGGUGUUUUGUUUUGUUGUUUUACUCAUCCUGGUUGGUUGAUUGAUUGAGGCCAGUGAUUGGUCCAUCGCCACCCAAUCACGCCUAGUCUUGGUGGCUUGACGUCUCCUGUGUGUCUAUAGGAAGCACUUUUUUUAUGGAUGCCUGAAAGUCUAUAGUUCAUCCGACUCAGUUGAUACAGUGUACAUGUUACAGUGGGUGUGACUGACGGUUAUUUUUAAAACUGUUAUCUGUUUUAUUAACAGUUUAUAUCAACACCUUCGCUGAGAUCGUGCUUUAGGCAAUCCUCACCUAGCUGUGACCGUUAGACCAAAAUUGUUUCCAAUGAAACACUGCAUCUUAUCUGCAUGUGGAAAGCCAUGAUGCCCGUGUCACGAUUGGGUUUAUUUAUAUUCAUGUUUUUAAGUUUUAUCCUUUCACCAACCCAAAUGGCGGUUUAUUCAGGGCCCUGUCUGGGCCAGAACUGGCCCUAGUCUGGGCCAGAACCGGCCCGCGUCUGGGACCCGCUUAGAAGAUGACGGCCCGAGGCGCUGCACAGGUCCUCAGUUGUUGCUUAGUAACCGGUGUGAUGCGUUCAUCUACAAAUGCUGUAUAUCUGGAGUCAUGUAUACUGUACAUAGGACUGAUUCUAUCUGUGGAUGAUUGUUCAGGGGGAGGGUGCUUGACUUGAUUUAGUCUGGUUUAUUUUAAAGAUGGA
Molecule: long non-coding RNA, 1949 nt
Organism: Clupea harengus (Atlantic herring)
Lineage: Eukaryota; Metazoa; Chordata; Actinopteri; Clupeiformes; Clupeidae
Source: Ensembl